Molecule: small RNA, 1832 nt
Filed under: Pan troglodytes (chimpanzee)
Lineage: Eukaryota; Metazoa; Chordata; Mammalia; Primates; Hominidae
Description: retained intron
Source: RNAcentral
GAAAGGGUGUUAAAAUUCUGGAUCACAUGUGGACCCGGGAAGGUUUUCUCACCCUCUGUUAGUGACAUCGAGUCUCCCACUAGACAAAAAUAGGUGGAAAAAUCUCUCGAGGGCUCACAUUGUUUUGUCAUCUUCAGGAAAAACACCACCAGGCCAUACCACAGCCUGCCCAGUGAGGCGGUCUUUGCCAACAGCACCGGGAUGCUGGUGGUGGCCUUUGGGCUGCUGGUGCUCUACAUCCUUCUGGCUUCAUCUUGGAAGCGCCCAGAGCCGGGGAUCCUGACCGACAGACAGCCCCUGCUGCAUGAUGGGGAGUGAAGCAGCAGGAAGGGGCUCCCAAGAGCUCCUGGUGGUGCAGCCUGUGCUCCCCUCAGAAGCUCUGCUCUUCCCAGGGCUCCUGGCUGGUUUCAGCAGGCGACUUUCUUCGAAUGCUGGGCCCAGACUUCUUGCCUGGGUGCUGGCCUGCCCUCUCCGGCCACUUGCUGCCUGUCUGCUUUCCUUGGUGGCUUUGCCUGGGUGCUGGGCCUGCCCUCUCCGGCCGCUUGCUGCCUGUCUGCUUUCCUUGGUGGCUUUGCCUGGGUGCUGGGCCUGCCCUCUCCGGCCGCUUGCUGCCUGUCUGCUUUCCUUGGUGGCUUUGGCUUCUGCACUCCUUGGCGUCAGCCUCUCAGGUCCUCCAUUCACACGAGGUCCUCCUCGCUCUGGCCGCUCUUGCUGCUCCUGUCUGAAGAAAUCAGACUGAUUUCCUCUUAAGACUCCUAGGGAUGUGGUGAAGAGCUGGGACUCAAGUGCAGUCCACGGUGUGAAACAUGAGGGAGGUGAGGUGUCCGUCCACUUCCCCCAUAAAGGUGUGCAUUUCAGUUAGGCUGCCCCGCCACAGAGCAGGCUUCAUCUGCUCUGCCAUCCAGCCCCAUCUGGAUGUGAGGUGGGGUGGAGACAUCAUGGGGUGAUUGCAGAAAGGGGGAGUGGCGGCCCACGCAGCUUCUGCUGAGGAGCUGACUGCUCUGAGCUGUUCUGUUUCGUAUUGCUGCUCUGUGUCUGCAUGUAUUGUGACCAUGCGGCUCCACCUCUUCCAGCUGCUGCUACAGCUGAGGCCUGGAUCCCGGCCUUUCCCUGUGACUUACGUGUCUGUCACCGGCAGGCAGCCCUACAAAUCCUGGUGACCUGCUCUCCCAAGAACAGAGCCUGUCCCCAGAUGUCCCAGUAGCGAUGAGUAACAGAGGUGGCUGUGGACUUCCUUUACUUCUCCUUGCUGGAUCAGGGCCUUCCUGCCUCCCACUGGGCAGGUCCGGCCUUGCUCUCUUGGCAGGGCCCCAGCCCCUCUGACCACUCUGCAGCUCACCAUGCAACUGAUGCCAAAGUUGUGGUGUCCUGUGUGCAGCAGCCCUGGGAGCCACUGCCACCUUCAGAGGGGUUCCUUGCUGAGACCCACAUUGCUUCACCUGCCCCCACCAUGGCUGCUUGCCUGGCCCAACCUAGCGUUCUGUGCCAUGCUAGAGCUUGAGCUGUUGCUCUUCUUCAGGGGAGGAAAUAGGGUGGGGAGCGGGAAGGGUCUUGCUCCUCUCCUAAGUGUUGCUGCUGUGGCUUUUUUGCCUUCUCCAAAGACGCACUGCCAGGUCCCAAGCUUCAGACUGCUGUGCUUAGUAAGCAAGUGAGAAGCCUGGGGUUUGGAGCCCACCUACUCUCUGGCAGCAUCAGCAUCCUACUCCUGGCAACAUCAGGCCAACGUCCACCCCAGCCUCACAUUGCCAGAUGUUGGCAGAAGGGCUAAUAUUGACCGUCUUGACUGGCUGGAGCCUUCAAAGCCACUGGGAUGUCCUCCAGGCACCUGGGUC